RNAcentral lists this ribosomal RNA (1435 nucleotides) under uncultured bacterium. RNAcentral describes it as "bacterial SSU rRNA". It matches the Rfam family "Bacterial small subunit ribosomal RNA". The record is from RNAcentral.
GGCGGCGUGCUUAACACAUGCAAGUCAAGGGGGCCCGCAAGGGCAACCGGCGAACGGGUGCGUAACACGUGAGCAAGCUUCCGAUUUGUGGGGGAUAGCCGGCCCAACGGCCGGGUAAUACCGCAUACCUUCACUGGACGGCAUCGUCUGGUGAGGAAACCUCCGGGGCAAAUCGAGGCGCUCGCGGCCUAUCAGCUAGUUGGCGGGGUAAUGGCCCACCAAGGCUAUGACGGGUAGCUGGUCUGAGAGGAUGGCCAGCCACAUUGGGACUGCGACACGGCCCAGACUCCUACGGGAGGCAGCAGUGGGGAAUAUUGCGCAAUGGACGAAAGUCUGACGCAGCGACGCCGCGUGUGGGAUGAAGCCUUUCGGGGCGUAAACCACUGUUGCCCGGGACGAACAUCCCCUUUCGAGGGGACUGACGGUACCGGGUGAGGAAGCACCGGCUAACUCUGUGCCAGCAGCCGCGGUAAUACAGAGGGUGUGAGCGUUGUCCGGAAUCACUGGGCGUAAAGGGCGCGUAGGUGGCUUGGUAAGCGUGUGGUGAAAGUCCGGGGCUCAACCCCGGAUCUGCCGUGCGAACUGCUGAGCUCGAGCGAUGUAGAGGCAGGUGGAAUUUCGGGUGUAGCGGUGGAAUGCGUAGAUAUCCGAAAGAACACCAGUGGCGAAGGCGGCCUGCUGGGCAUCAGCUGACACUGAGGCGCGACAGCGUGGGGAGCAAACAGGAUUAGAUACCCUGGUAGUCCACGCCGUAAACGAUGGGUACUAGGUGUCUGGGGGAGCGACCCCCUGGGUGCCGGCGCUAACGCAUGAAGUACCCCGCCUGGGGAGUACGGCCGCAAGGCUGAAACUCAAAGGAAUUGACGGGGGCCCGCACAAGCGGUGGAGCAUGUGGUUUAAUUCGACGCAACGCGAAGAACCUUACCUAGGCUUGACAUGCUGGAGAAAGCUCGCAGAAACGUGAGCCCCUCUUCGGAGUUCCAGCACAGAUGCUGCAUGGCUGUCGUCAGCUCGUGUCGUGAGAUGUUGGGUUAAGUCCCGCAACGAGCGCAACCCUCACUCUUAGUUACCAGCGGGUAAAGCCGGGGACUCUAGGGGGACUGCCGGUGCCAAACCGGAGGAAGGUGGGGAUGACGUCAAGUCAUCAUGGCUCUUACGUCUAGGGCUACACACGUGCUACAAUGGGCCGGACAGAGGGUCGCCAACUCGCGAGAGUGAGCCAAUCCCCAAACCGGUCCUCAGUUCGGAUUGCAGUCUGCAACUCGACUGCAUGAAGCUGGAAUCGCUAGUAAUCGUGGAUCAGCUACGCCACGGUGAAUACGUUCCCGGGCCUUGUACACACCGCCCGUCACACCAUGGGAGUUGAUUGCACCAGAAGCAGGUAGCCUGACCGCAAGGAGGGCGCUUACCACGGUGUGGUUAAUGACUGGGGUGA